AAUGAUCUGUGGCUUUGCAAAAACGCCUUUUCUUGGGUCAGAGAGCAGAGUCCACAGUACUCCAACAGUGACCGUGACAAUGAUCUCUUCAGGUUUGUGGAAAUCUUUCUCACUUUGGAAUAAUAGGACUGCAGGAGAGAUCUUUGCAGUUAGCUUAGCUCAAGGUGGUCCAGCCCCAUGUUUCAUGAGAGAGUGGUGCUACAUGUAUCUCACCACUGGGGAAAUUGAUAUGCUCCAAAUUUUCAAGAAUGAUAUUGAUGAUAUUGAAUUCUCCCUGCUGAUCUCAAAGGUAGCGUAACUCCAAAUACUCCCUAAUGGCUAGCAGCAGUAUAUUGUAUUGUUUCUUUGCAUAAUACCACAUUUUGGCAUCCUGUUAUUGUUGUGUUUUUCAUGAGGUCAAAGAGGCAACUAAUCUGUCAGAAUUCACAGAUGAAAUCCUUAGCUGUGGAUACACUGGGACAUUUAACAUGGACCAAAACGAUGCCAUAAUUAGAGCAAUUUUUCUCCAUGCAAUAUUUUGAGUCACACCAAUGCUUGGAGACUUGCAUAAAGGCCUUCAGCUCUAUGGAUUGCUGGACAUUCUUAAGGAACAUCCAAAUCUUUGCAAGAGUCUGUUUGUUCCUGGAGAGGAUUGCACACCAGACACUGACUACAUUCUCAGCCACGUUGCUCCUGAAAUGAGUCCUAGAGGAGCUUCAAGGGCUUCAGCAGAAAGCAAAAUCAUAAACUACUUUCAAGAAAUUGAAUGUGGAGAGUGACCAUUCUCCACUGUCCAUCGAUGGCUCCUCUGUGGAGAUCGUCAAGAGCACCAAAUUCCUUGGUGUCCAUCUGGCGGAGAACUUCACCUGGUCACUCAACACCAGCUCCAUCACCAAGAAAGCCCAGCAGCACCUCUACUUCCUGAGGAGGCUGAGGAAAGCCCAUCUCCCUCCCUCCAUCCUGACUGUGUUCUACAGAGGGACCAUGGAGAGCGUCCUGAGCAGCUGCAUCACUGCCUGGUUUGGGAACUGGACCGUCUCAGAUCACAAGACCCUUCAGGGGACAGUGAGGACAGACACACACCCCUCACACACACUCUUACACACCCCACACACCCCACACACACUCUUACACACCCCACACACCCCUCACACACACUCUUACACACCCCACACACCCCUCACACACACUCUU
Molecule: long non-coding RNA, 1173 nt
Organism: Hemibagrus wyckioides
Lineage: Eukaryota; Metazoa; Chordata; Actinopteri; Siluriformes; Bagridae
Exons: 4
Source: RefSeq, a predicted model, not a curated record